RNAcentral lists this unclassified non-coding RNA (275 nucleotides) under uncultured Tremellales. Its description in RNAcentral is "sequence contains ITS2". The stretch from base 1 to 52 matches the Rfam family "5.8S ribosomal RNA", at positions 103 to 154 of the family's 154-position model. The record is from RNAcentral. Lineage: Eukaryota; Fungi; Basidiomycota; Tremellomycetes; Tremellales.
AACGCACCUUGCGCCUUUUGGUAUUCCGAAAGGCAUGCCUGUUUGAGUGUCAUGAAAUCUCAAUCCCCUCGGGUUUAUGAUCUGGGGCGGACUUGGACUUGGGCGUCUGCCGAUCCGUCGGCUCGCCUCAAAUGACUUAGUGGGAUUAGCAUCCACGGCCCGACGUAAUAAGUUUCGUCUGGUCAGGUGUGAGGCCCGCUCAGAACCCCCCCGCUUUGGCGUUAACACUUUUUGACUCUGACCUCAAAUCAGGUAGGGCUACCCGCUGAACUUAA